GCUUAUAUGAUGAAUACUAUAUUAAUUUCUGACACCUCUUCUGAACCGUUGUGAGGUAAUCUAUAAGUUAAAUCUGACAUC
Neodiprion fabricii is the source of this 81-nucleotide small nucleolar RNA. RefSeq annotates it as small nucleolar RNA Me28S-Gm3255. Lineage: Eukaryota; Metazoa; Arthropoda; Insecta; Hymenoptera; Diprionidae. The transcript has a single exon. The record is from RefSeq and is a predicted model, not a curated record.